CAGCUCUGGAAGGAAGGACUCUGCCUCAAG
Molecule: non-coding RNA, 30 nt
Filed under: Cricetulus griseus (Chinese hamster)
Lineage: Eukaryota; Metazoa; Chordata; Mammalia; Rodentia; Cricetidae
Source: RNAcentral